UGCCAGCCGCCGCGGUAAUACGGAGGGUGCAAGCGUUGUUCGGAAUUACUGGGCGUAAAGCGCGCGUAGGCGGCUAUUUAAGUCAGAUGUGAAAGUCCACGGCUCAACCGUGGAAGUGCAUUUGAAACUGGAUGGCUUGAGUACUGGAGGGGAAAGUGGAAUUCCGAGUGUAGGAGUGAAAUCCGUAGAUAUUCGGAGGAACACCAGUGGCGAAGGCGGCUUUCUGGACCAAUACUGACGCUGAGAUGCGAAAGCGUGGGGAGCGAACAGGAUUAGAUA
Molecule: ribosomal RNA, 279 nt
Filed under: uncultured bacterium
Lineage: Bacteria
Description: partial 16S ribosomal RNA
Rfam family: Bacterial small subunit ribosomal RNA
Source: RNAcentral